AGCUUUAUAGUCAAACGAUGAUUUAAGACUGCAAUUCUUAAGGUGAGGACUCAGUCUUCUAAGGCUU
RNAcentral lists this transfer RNA (67 nucleotides) under Niponiella limbatella. RNAcentral describes it as "tRNA-Cys". The record is from RNAcentral. Lineage: Eukaryota; Metazoa; Arthropoda; Insecta; Plecoptera; Perlidae.